UACAGAGGUGGCAAGCGUUGUUCGGAAUUACUGGGCGUAAAGGGCGCGUAGGCGGCCUACUAAGUCAGACGUGAAAUCCCCCGGCUUAACCUGGGAACUGCGUCUGAUACUGGAAGGCUUGAGGAUGGGAGAGGGAUGUAGAAUUCCAGGUGUAGCGGUGAAAUGCGCAGAUAUCAGGAGGAACACCAGCGGCGAAGGCGGCGCUCUGGGCCGGUACUGACACUGAGGAGCGAAAGCGUGGGUAGCAAACAGG
This 253-nucleotide ribosomal RNA is filed under the name uncultured bacterium. Its description in RNAcentral is "partial 16S ribosomal RNA". It matches the Rfam family "Bacterial small subunit ribosomal RNA", at positions 524 to 776 of the family's 1533-position model. The record is from RNAcentral.